This 253-nucleotide ribosomal RNA is filed under the name uncultured bacterium. RNAcentral's name for it is "partial 16S ribosomal RNA". It matches the Rfam family "Bacterial small subunit ribosomal RNA", at positions 524 to 776 of the family's 1533-position model. The record is from RNAcentral.
UACGUAGGGGGCAAACGUUGUCCGGAAUCAUUGGGCGUAAAGCGCGUGUAGGCGGCCAGAAAAGUCCGCUGUGAAAACUCGAGGCUCAACUUCGAGCUGUCGGUGGAAACUUUCUGGCUAGAGUCCGGAAGAGGAGAAUGGAAUUCCUGGUGUAGCGGUGAAAUGCGCAGAUAUCAGGAAGAACACCCGUGGCGAAGGCGGUUCUCUGGGACGGUACUGACGCUGAGGUGCGAAAGCGUGGGGAGCAAACAGG